This 279-nucleotide long non-coding RNA is filed under the name Mytilus galloprovincialis (Mediterranean mussel). The record is from RNAcentral. Lineage: Eukaryota; Metazoa; Mollusca; Bivalvia; Mytilida; Mytilidae.
CUACAGUUGGGUGCAGACCAAGCAUUACAUGUAAACGGGCCUUAAAAGUUAACGCGGCGUUUACUCACGUGCACUUCAUGUAAACGCCGCGUUAACUCUGCGUUAACUCCGAAAUUUUAGUAGACAUAAAUAGUAAACGGGCGUUUACUUUCGCGUUUACCUCCGCGUUAACGCAAAAACCGCGCGUCUUCUAAUUUUGUAAAGAGUAAACGGGCGUUUACUUCGCGUUAACGCGAAAAAGGCGUGUCUUCCAAUUUUGUAUAAUAAAGUAAACGCCCG